GUAGGUGGCAAGCGUUGUCCGGGAAUUAUUGGGGCGUAAAGCGCGCGCAGGCGGUUCUUUAAGUCUGAUGUGAAAGCCCACGGGCUCAACCGUGGGAGGGUCAUUGGAAACUGGAGAACUUGAGUACAGAAGAGGAAAGCGGAAUUCCAUGUGUAGCGAUGAAAUGCGUAGAGAUGUGGAGGAACACCAGUGGCGAAGGCGGCUUUCUGGUCUGUAACUGACGCUGAGGCGCGAAAGCGUGGGGAGCAAACAGGAUUAGAUACCCUGGUAGUCCACGCCGUAAACGAUGAGUGCUAGGUGUUAGGGGGUUUCCGCCCCUUAGUGCUGCAGCUAACGCAUUAAGCACUCCGCCUGGGGAGUACGGCCGCAAAGGCUG
RNAcentral lists this ribosomal RNA (376 nucleotides) under uncultured organism. RNAcentral's name for it is "partial 16S ribosomal RNA". It matches the Rfam family "Bacterial small subunit ribosomal RNA", at positions 527 to 896 of the family's 1533-position model. The record is from RNAcentral.